GUGCUUGCUUCGGCAGCACAUAUACUAAAACCAGAACGAUACAGAGAAGAUUAGAGUGGUCCCUGCGCAAGGAUGACAUGACGUUCGUGAAGCGUUCCAUCUGUUU
Molecule: small nuclear RNA, 106 nt
Filed under: Salvator merianae (Argentine black and white tegu)
Lineage: Eukaryota; Metazoa; Chordata; Lepidosauria; Squamata; Teiidae
Source: RNAcentral